Odocoileus virginianus texanus is the source of this 676-nucleotide non-coding RNA. The record is from RefSeq and is a predicted model, not a curated record. NCBI's taxonomy places the organism in Eukaryota, Metazoa, Chordata, Mammalia, Artiodactyla, Cervidae.
GCACAGGAGCCAGAGAUGCAAGAUGACUCACCUAUAUUCUGAGGGCAGAGGCUUUAUUCAAAGGAGAAAUUCCACUUUCCUCUAGAGGGACUUAAAAUUUCGGUGAUGUCUGAAAUCUGGAAAUACCCCAAAGACCUUUAAAUAAUAUUUGGUUCGCUGACUGAUUCACACCUCCCAACCUGCUCUAAAACCUGCCUUGCCACCAAACCUGCUCCCGAAACAAGGUCUCUUUUUCAGGAACAAACUGUGAACCCCCCAGCUUUGCAAAAUAGCCCAAAAAUACUUUUUAAAAACAUGCUUGGCCCCACCAUCAUCAUCAUCUUCUUAGGAAGGUUCAAAGGUUCCAGGAUAGCUGGUUAGCUACUCUCAAUACGAUACACAUUGGCUUCAGGUGUGGUCCCGACUCCAGCACUAAGGAAAAGGCAGAGGCUCCUGAAUGUGGUGCUGAACCGGCACAGACAGCUGUGAGGGGCACAUUUCCUGGAACCCGGAAGUGAGCAGACUCUUACAAGAUCUCAUCUGGGAGGUGAGGGUGCCAGCAGCAGACAUUUUUAAUUAAACAUUGGAGUUCUGAAGAGGAUGUGUCAGAGGAAACAAAUAAACUCUCCAUGGCUGUCCCUGAGGUUCCUGACAUGCUCGUCUUGCUGGCUUUUUCCGCACAGCUCCAGGAUCUGAG